RNAcentral lists this long non-coding RNA (702 nucleotides) under Coffea arabica (coffee). RNAcentral describes it as "long non-coding RNA (CARA_LNC006880)". The record is from RNAcentral. Lineage: Eukaryota; Viridiplantae; Streptophyta; Magnoliopsida; Gentianales; Rubiaceae.
AAACGCAAGCUACGGCUAGAAUAGUGCAAAAGGCUUUAGAAAUGGCUGAAACUUUGUUGCAGAAUAUAAGCUACGUUCUUUGCAUGAAGAUUGCAUGAAAUAAUUUUCUAAAAUUGCAUUUUGACCCCUUGGCUUCUAACUAAUGCUACUUUGACCCAACUAAUUGAAUAAUGUCUUCAACUUGGUCCUUGGUAGUUUUAACUUUUGCAAUUUCAUUGUUUGUUCGAUUCCAAUUAGCCACCUUGCUUUGCUUAAAUUGCACUUAAGUUAUGACUUUAGGGACUUUAUGACUAGGUGAGCCUUGUUUUGCCCAUUUCUUUUAAUUUUUCUUAAAUAAAGUGGUGCCAUGACCUUUUUAUUAUUUUGGAGGGUAAUUGAAUAAUUUCACUUCAUUUGGACUCCAUUCCAAGGGAGGUACACUCUAUCCCUCAUUUGCACUUCAUUUGAUCCUAUGUGACCUUAUGUGUUAUGUGAAUAUGCCUGUCUACUUCGCUUUCCUUACCUCCUUGCGUGCAUUUACUUGCCUUACUUUUAUUUAAGUUUUAUGGGGUAUGUGUACACCUCUUGGCUUGUAAUAGAUAGUGCUCGGAGAGCAUCUGGUCCACUUCCCCUUCCCCUUUAUGCUUUUAUGGGGUAUGUGUACACCUCUUGGCUUGUAAUAGAUAGGGCUCGGAGAGCAUCUGGUCCACUUCCCCUUCCCCU